GGGUGAAGGUGCUCCCACAAUGUGGUUGGGAUGAGGCUGUCACUGGCUCGGCCAGCAUUUCUUGCUGCGUUUACCCAGAGGGCAGUUAAGAGUCAACCACGUUGCUAUAGGUCUGGAGUCCCAUGCAGACCAGACCAGAUCCCAGUGAUCAGUGCCAAAGCCCCAUUGCCUGUGGAGAAGGUGAUGUUUGAUUUCCCUGUCCAGCUGCAAUUCAUGUGGUGAAGGUGCUCCCACAAUGUGGUUGGGUCACCGUUCAGCCUCUGAUGCUCCAAGGAAAGCAGCCUAUCCAAACCUGGCAACAUCCUAUAAUUAUUUUCUGACCCCUUUCAAGUUUGAGAACAUCCAUCUGAUCGGAAGGAGACCAGAAUUGCAUGGAAUAUUACAAAAGUUGCCGAAUCAAUGUCCUGUACAGCCUCAGUAUGACCUCUCAAUGCUGUGACCAAUAAAGGCAAGCAGACAAACUGCCGCCCUUCACUAUUCUAUCUACUUGCUACUCUACUUUCAAGGAACUAUGAACCUGCACUCCAAGGACUCUUUGUUUAGCAGCACUCCCUAGGAACUUACUAUUAACUGUAUAAGUCCUGCUAAAGUAUGUUUCGUGAUGUUUAACUUCUCAAAUUGGACUGGAGUUUAAUAUUCUGGAGAAAUGUCAAAUAAAUCGCAUUUAUCCCAUUCUGCAGAACUUAGUCCAUCGCCCUGCACGUUCCAACAUUUCAGUUCCAUCCACGUACUUUUAUUCAAAUGUAAUGCUGGUAACUGCCUCUGUCACCCCAUCAGUGAGAUCCUGCUCUCCACCAUUUCUGUGGGAAAUACAUUCUCCUUUCCCCUUUUUUUCUGAGAAUUAUCUUCAAUCUAAAACUUCUAGUUCCUGAUGGCUCUGUUAUUGAAUAGCUGCUUCCUAUCCAUUCUACCUGGAUUCCUCAGCAUUUUAUCACAUCAAUUUAAUCUCAGUUCAUCUUCCUUGGAAACCCCCCACCCCCCAACCUAUCCAAUCUUUCCUCAGAGCAGAAAUUCUCCAAUCAGAGAAAAAAUUCUGAUCAAUCUUCUCUGUCCCCUCUCUGGUGUGAUCACAUCAAUCCUGGAAUGUGGGGACAAUGAGUGAGUGCAGUACUUUCGCCUUGGUCAAACUAGUGUUCCAGUGUCACUUCUGUGUUCUUGUGGUUGUUGCUGAUACAAGAAGUGUCCUGGUUUUCCCACAUGGAACUGGAUGUGCACUCCAUGGGACUGGGAUUCCCUACCGUGUGUGUAUUUGUUAACUAAUCCUAAAUUAACUUCACAUUAAAACAGAAUUAUCAGAUACCCACCAAUAAAUUUCUUCCAUUAUACUCAAAUCACCUUACUUUUAAUAUCUCUUUAAAAUUAUUACUAACACAACAGGCUUUAAUUUGCUGAAUAAGUAUUCAGGUAUCUUCACUGUUACAAUCACUUGAAGAUUAUCUUUACCUUCAGCUACACGUGGUGAAUUGAACACUGAUUGUAAACAUAUUAAUAUCAAAUGGACUUCAGUUUUAUGAUGAUUCAUCCAGUCUGACAUUCUUGUUGAUUAAUAUCUUGGAGAGAACUGUCUUCAGGACUCCAGCUGUCCUUUGUCUUCAAUCACAACUGGUUGUGGCUGGACUACAGAUCUUAGAUCUGUUCCGUUGUUUACUGGAUUGCUUCGCUCUGUCUAUCACUUGCUGCUUAUGCUGUUUGGUAGCUUCAUCAGGUGAACACCCCAUUUUUAGGUAUUCAUGCUGCUGUUACUGACAUGCCCUCCUGAAUUCUCUCAGUUGAAUGAGGGCUGAUCCUCUGGUUUGAUGGAAGGAGGGAAGCUGGGGAAUAUGCUGGGCCGUGAUUCUGUAAGCUUUGUUGGAGUACGACUCUACUGUUGUUGGAAGGCAAGAGCUAAACUCUUGCACUGUAAACCCGAUGUACAAGAAGCUACAGGCAGUAUCAUAAACACUGACAGUCCAAGACAUGAAAUACGAGCAACACUGUACAAUGAUGCAGGAUCACAACUGCAGCAAGGGGAGAUUAAGAUCCAACUUGACAUAGGAGUAUGGAAAGAAGCAGCUGAUCAAAUUGUCUUAUUCACAGUCAUAAAGAGACUCUGUGAGAUUAUUGUACUCUUAGGGUUGAGGAUGGAGGAGGUUGGGUAGAUGAGGAGCUCUUCAAAGGAAAGUAAUCUGCCUAAGAGUUAUGGGAUCGACUUGAUUGCUAGGUAUUUAACAGAAAGCUAAUUGAAACUGUUUUUAUCCCCAAAAGAUAACAAGACUGAUGGUGUUUCCAAUCAUGAUCAGAAACAAACCUCAGAAUACAUGGUUCAUAGAUGGAUGUCAAUAGCCCAUCAACAUCCAACUCCUGCAAUUAUUCAGCAAAUGUAUGUGUGAUUAACUAGUCCUGAUGUCAGUCCUGAUAUACCAGAAAAUCGCUGUUUACUCUGUGCAGAUGGACAGCAUAGUGAGGAAGUAUUGGCCGAGUGAUAUUGUCGCUAGACAGUUCAUCCAAAGCCCCAGAUAAAGUUCUGGAGACCUGCGUUCAAAGCCUGCUGCAGCAGAUGGGGGAAUUUGAAUUAAAUUUUUAAAAACUUGAAAAUUGAAGAAUCUAAUGACGACCAUUAAUCGAUUGCCAGAAAACCCCAUCUGGAUCACUAAUGUCCUUUCAGGAAGGAAGCUGCCAUCCUUACCUAGUCUGGCCUACAUUGUGACUUCAGACCCACAAAAAUGUGGUCGACUCUUACCUGCCCUCUGGGCAAUUAGGGAUGGGCAGUAAAUGCUGCCGGGCCAGUGACACCCUCAUCCUGUGAAUGAAUAAAGGAAAAUAAAAGUCUCUACCCAGCGUGAA
This is a long non-coding RNA of Hemiscyllium ocellatum (epaulette shark), 2823 nucleotides long. RefSeq lists it as uncharacterized. The transcript is spliced from 4 exons. Lineage: Eukaryota; Metazoa; Chordata; Chondrichthyes; Orectolobiformes; Hemiscylliidae. The record is from RefSeq and is a predicted model, not a curated record.